UACGUAGGGUGCAAGCGUUGUCCGGAAUUAUUGGGCGUAAAGAGCUCGUAGGCGGUGUGUCGCGUCGGCCGUGAAAACCUGCAGCUUAACUGUGGGCUUGCGGUCGAUACGGGCAUAACUGGAGUUCGGCAGGGGAGACUGGAAUUCCUGGUGUAGCGGUGAAAUGCGCAGAUAUCAGGAGGAACACCGGUGGCGAAGGCGGGUCUCUGGGCCGAUACUGACGCUGAGGAGCGAAAGCGUGGGGAGCGAACAGG
This 254-nucleotide ribosomal RNA is filed under the name uncultured bacterium. RNAcentral's name for it is "partial 16S ribosomal RNA". It matches the Rfam family "Bacterial small subunit ribosomal RNA", at positions 524 to 776 of the family's 1533-position model. The record is from RNAcentral.